GCUAAUAUCCCAUGGUCGACACGAGGGGGCGAUCCCCACUGUGUGUAAAGAUUCAUUGGUUAGGGAUGGGCGAUGCGUAUUAUUAGGUAGUUGGCGGGGUAACGGGCCCGACCCAAGCCGACGAUGAUUAGGGUUCUGAGAGGAUUAACCCCACACUGGAACUGAGACACGGUCCAGACUCCUACGGGAGGCAGCAGUAGGGAAUAUUGGGCAAUGGAGGCAACUCUGACCCAGCCAUGCCGCGUGCAGGAAGACGGCCCUAUGGGUUGUAAACUGCUUUUAUCGUGGAGUAAACCCGGCCACGUGUGGCCGGUUGAGAGUACACGAGGAAUAAGUAUCGGCUAACUCCGUGCC
Molecule: ribosomal RNA, 354 nt
Filed under: uncultured bacterium
Lineage: Bacteria
Description: bacterial SSU rRNA
Rfam family: Bacterial small subunit ribosomal RNA
Source: RNAcentral